RNAcentral lists this ribosomal RNA (253 nucleotides) under uncultured bacterium. RNAcentral describes it as "partial 16S ribosomal RNA". It matches the Rfam family "Bacterial small subunit ribosomal RNA", at positions 524 to 776 of the family's 1533-position model. The record is from RNAcentral.
UACGUAGGGUGCAAGCGUUAAUCGGAAUUACUGGGCGUAAAGCGUCCGCAGGCGGUUUUGUAAGUCUGUCGUGAAAGCCCCGGGCUCAACCUGGGAAUUGCGAUGGAGACUGCAAGGCUUGAAUCUGGCAGAGGGGGGUAGAAUUCCACGUGUAGCAGUGAAAUGCGUAGAGAUGUGGAGGAACACCGAUGGCGAAGGCAGCCCCCUGGGUCAAGAUUGACGCUCAUGCACGAAAGCGUGGGGAGCAAACAGG